UAUAAGUCAUAAAUUUAAUAAUUCCAUAAGAACCCCAAUUUUGGUGACAAUAACAAAUCCAGCUUGCCCUAAUGUAAACAUUAACAUCCGCUGCCGAAUCCGUUAUCCCCAGUGUGGGAACCGGUGCGAGAGAGCUGUCAGCCAAGCAACGAGAGAGGCAAUGGUACUCUCUCAGACCAAUCACACUGAUGGGCAAUAAGAAAUCAACCCCCGUGAGACAGACGCGCACGUAUAUAUAUAUAUAUAUAUUCAUUACCGAAGCGGGUUAAUAUUUAAUUUAAACAAAAAGUUACAAAACAAAAAGGCAUAUUAAAAUAUGUGUGCAAUGUACAUACUGUACAUAUAUGUAAACAAUGUUAGUAAUGGCAGCGCGAUAGCACAGGUGGCAGCACUGCAGGAAACUAUCGAUAGGAUCUGGAGAGCAGUUGGUGGGAAUGAUCGAAGAAAAAGUGGCAGAUCGCAAAAAUAGAGGGAAGUCGUCGCCAAGAAGUCAAGUAGAAGAAGUUGAAAUAGAGAAGUCGAAAAGAACGCGCAUAAGUCAAGAGUUGUGGAAAAGCGAAUAAGUCGGUCGGUUUUUCAGCAACGAUUAGUCAAGUCGGACAGUCGUUGAAAGUAGAAGUAGUGUUGCGUGUAGUUCUGUCGGUUGAAUAUUACAAACGUGCAAAUACUCUUAAACUUAACCUUGAUAUAAUAAAUAAAUAUUACACUCAUAUUACAUUUGGGGGCUCAACCGCCAAAUUAAGGUGAAACUGUGAGAAUAACUCGCCUUAAUGUGAAAUUGCGUCAGAAACUGAAAAUUAAUGUGUAUAAGUUAAUAGAUUUGUGUUUUUAUGGAUGUCGUGGCUAUGGCCUACGAAUUAUAUUUAGAUUAUAUUUGAGCUUGUAAAUUGAUUGAAUAAUAAUCAAUGUCUGCGUGGCGACGACCGACGCGUUCGAUUAUCCAAUUCGCUCUGCCCUUCUUUCUUAAGCUCGCCUUUGAUCCCAAGCCAAAAGCUCGACUCUUAUCGUGAAAGCUUCAGGGCUUGUAUUGGCCUCUCUUUCUCUUUCUUCUUCGAAGAAAAGUAACGGCGUCAAGUUCGGAAGCAGCUGCAAGAAGGAGAGGUACGAAACAAACACCAAAUAAUUACGGUGAAACACCAAAAAACGGCACAACAAAUAAAUACACGAAGCCAACCACAAGAGAAAAAAGAAGAAGCGGUGCUGGAAAAUCAAGUACAAUUACAACAAAUAAUUCAGCUGCUGAGUUUGAAAAUUCCAUGAAGUGGCACAGAAUACUCCAAAAGUCUCAUUGGAGGGCUUCGGUAAAGUUGUGGCAGAUUUUUACGGCGAGUCGGUGCCUGUGGAAAAUUGGAUUGAGAACUUCGAGUUGAAUGCUGAUGCGUAUGGGCUAACGAGAGGCAAAAAUAUGCGCAAGCGCGAUCAAAACUGAAAAAGACGGCACAGUUGUUCAUGAAAUCCGAGCUGGUAGGAUCGUAUGAAGAGUGGAAAACAGCGCUUUUAACUAAGUUCAAACGAAAAUUUGGAAGUUCUAAAGUACACGAGAAACUGGCAAAUAGGAAAAAAUUGCAAACGGAGAGUUUCCAUGAAUACAUCUUGCAGAUGAAGAAAAUUGAAGCGCUGGGCCAAGUUGAAACCAAAUCUGUAAUACGUUAUGUUUAUAAUUUAAUGCAUACCUGUAAUACAUACCUGUAUAUGGGUGAAAGCAAGUCAAAAAAGCAGAUUUACAGCAGCGGUCAACAACAGCAUUAUAACAACAGUAAAAAGACGGCUCGUUGCUUCAAUUGUGGAUAGUAUGAACACAUGAAGAAAGAUUGCAAUGCUGGAACGAAGUGCUUUAAGUGUGGUGCUGUGGUUCAUAUAUCAACAAGUUGUAAUUGGUGCAAUUGGUAAAGGAUUCCAAACGGCUGAAGAACAUUAUACUAAAUGGUAUUGAAGUUGCGUGCCUGGUUGACACGGGUGCUGAUGCUACGGUUGUGAAGCACUCGGUGUACAUGAGACUAAAAGAUGUUGUGCUAAGUCCAUAUCGUUGCCGCUGGGAGUUUUCGCUGGAGCUGUUCAAAUAGACGAUAUGGAGACUGUGCAAAACUUCAUCGUGGUAGCGGAUUAAAAAAUGGAAGAUGAUUCUCUCCUUAGAUACGAUUUUCUAUCAAGGUUUCAAUUUAAACUGGAUGCAAAUGGGUUUACGUUUUCGUCGUUUUCAGCUUGUCCUGAGGUAGCUGACAUUAACCAGAUAAUUUGCACCGAUGAUACGGAAGCUGAUAGACGAAUAUCCAACCUCGAUGCUGGCAGAGUCACCUGUUCAGCUAAGAGUGGUGCCAGAUGAAAAGGUUAAGCCGUUUUGUCAUCAACCAAGUCGACAUCCCCCAUUUGAAGCCGAAGCCGUUAAAAAACAAGUCGAUGACUGGUUAAAAGAAGGAAUCGUUCUACCAUCUACUUCACGCUUUGCCAGUAGAACCGUCGUAGUAAAGAAGCUGCAAGCACAAUCAAGGACGCGCUGCGACGCCGAGGAAGCAAGGCCCUGGAGGCAGAAGUAUUACAGCUGACUGAAGAUCUGGUCAGUUCAGAGAGGGCGCGACGUGCUGCUGAAACGGAGAGUGACGAAUUGGCCGAAGAAAUUGCCUACAAUGCCAACAAGGGCUCCUUAAUGAUCGACGAGAAGCGCCGAUUGGAAGCCCGCAUUGCCACUCCUGAGGAGGAGUUGGAGGAGGAACAGUCCAACUCUGAGGUGCUCCUGGAUCAUAAGUCAAGAGUUGUGGAAAAGCGAAUAAGUCGGUCGGUUUUUCAGCAACGAUUAGUCAAGUCGGACAGUCGUUGAAAGUAGAAGUAGUGUUUCGUGAAGUUCUGUCGGUUAAAUAUUACACAGUUGUAAAUACUCUUAAACUUAACUUUGAUAUAAUAAAUAAA
Drosophila mauritiana is the source of this 2904-nucleotide RNA transcript. RefSeq lists it as uncharacterized. The transcript is spliced from 2 exons. The record is from RefSeq and is a predicted model, not a curated record. Lineage: Eukaryota; Metazoa; Arthropoda; Insecta; Diptera; Drosophilidae.